RNA transcript from Hypanus sabinus (Atlantic stingray), 4731 nucleotides. It is a transcript of the gene named RAB31, member RAS oncogene family, with no coding region annotated. NCBI's taxonomy places the organism in Eukaryota, Metazoa, Chordata, Chondrichthyes, Myliobatiformes, Dasyatidae. The transcript has 8 exons. The record is from RefSeq and is a predicted model, not a curated record.
AUUGCCGAGCAAUUUCCGUUCGCUGUGAGGAAACGAGCUGGUCGGCGGGUGAGAGCAGAUUAGCUUCGCAGACAACGCAAGUUGAUACAUGAACUGUGUCGACCAGAUUGCUAAGAGCAUGACAUAAGCAUCAUAGAUCGAAAAUGGCAAUAAGAGAAUUAAAAAUCUGCCUCCUUGGGGAUACAGGGGUUGGGAAGUCGAGUAUAGUGUGUCGAUUCGUCCAAGACACCUUCGAUGUUAAUACUCUGCCUACAAUUGGUGCAUCCUUCAUGACUAAGACUGUGAGCUGUGGAAACGAGCUCCAUAAGUUUUUGAUUUGGGAUACAGCUGGACAAGAGCGGUUCCAUUCGCUGGCUCCAAUGUAUUACCGUGGAUCGGCUGCAGCUGUUAUAGUUUACGACAUCACCAAUGAGGAAUCAUUCUACACUUUGAAGAAAUGGGUAAAGGAACUGAAGGAACAUGGACCUGAGGACAUUGUGGUUGCGAUUGCUGGAAACAAGUGUGACCUAGCUGACAUGAGAGAGGUCACAGUGAAGGACGCCCUAGAAUAUGUUAAGUUCAUAAACGCGAUUUUUGUUGAAACAAGUGCAAAGAAUGCCAUUAAUGUUGCUGAGCUGUUUGAAAGAAUCAACACUUCUUCCUCAAAUUCGGAAUGACCUUCUACAUCGUCAUCACUGUAUGGGCCUGACCUUUGUCUCCUCAUCACACUUUCUCCAAUCCUAGGAAAAAUUACUGGUCAGCAAAUUCCACCUCUGGAUCCCUCUCAGAUCAACAACAAUGGAGCUUUCAAAGUUGGAAGGCACACGGUGCAAUCAAGUAAGCGUUGCUGCUGAGUUUUGCUGGAGAUCAAGGCCAAGCAGUAUUAAAUCAUCAUCCUCAUACCAAGUAGCAGAAUGGGGAAGAAAGAAAAAACAAAACUUUUUUUUUGUGUUAUUGUUUGAAUUACUUAAUAGUCUCAAGGUUAUCUCUCAGUUGUUGGAUUGCUGGCUCUUUUCAUUCUAACACACUGCUAUUCCACUUUCAUGAAAUUCAUUAGAGUAGGGAGUUCCACAGAGAGUCGAUUCACUAUGAAUGCAAACAUUAAAGUACUGGUUAUUAUUUUUGUUCAGCCUCUUUCGUCCUUAGAUCUUUUUGGCCUUUAUUUUUCCUUUAUGAACGACACAGUGAUUGAUUUUUUUAAACCACUUUUCAAAUAUCCAGAAGUAAAUUAUGUUUUUGCUUGCUGUAACAAGUUCUCUGCCUGGCCCAAAGCUCUAAAGAGAAAUGCUUUAUCUGUAAGUUAGACCCUUUGAUAAAUACCACAUUCAUCAAUUUCUAACUGAUUGGAAAGGAUUGAACUAAUUUCCAAAGACCUGUGGAACACUGUAGAAGGCAGAAACUGAUUGCAGUGUUCCUUUCAUGUUCCACAUUUUAAAAUGUGUUAUGUGCAUGGUUAUAUGAAAGUUAAACUUUAUAAUAAUCCCAGGGGAUUACUUAUGGAAAAAAAAAUUGUUAAUGGCAAUGGACAAUGAAGUCCAGAAUGAUCCAAAAACAGGACGGGUAUUUACUGCUAUCUGAUUUCAACCAGGUAGUGAGCAGGCAUACUGACCUUUGCAGCCAACUGAAGAAAUGUGUCAGGAUGUUUACUUCUCAUUCGUGACUGAUUCCUGUUCAUGGAAUAAAGGAAAGCCAUGUCCUUUCUGCUGGUUGUAGGUAUAAAUAAGUUACUAUAUUCACUGAUUAUGCCCAGAAAUGACUAGUUAAUUCCUGUUAAGGAUCAAUGAGUGCAGGAGAGAGGUUGGGUAGAUGGAAUAUAAUGUUAAUGAAAAGAGUCUUUAUACAAAUGUGUGAAAUUACCAGGUCUUAAUUAACAAUACAAUUGAAAGAACUAGAAUAGUUUGGGUUUAAAAUAAUCUUUAUGUAAACAUGGCACACUCUAAUGCCAAAGAGUUAAGAUUAAAAUUUUCACCUGUUUAAUUUACAUAAUGUAGCUAAAGCAAUAACUGUAUGUAUACAAGCAUUAUGUAUACUGCUUUUCCAAUUCAUGCUCCGACCAGCCAGUCUUUAUAUUUGUACUUCCACUUUCAUCAUGAGGCAUUAUUAUGGACCAGUGGAGUCUUUCUGCUGAUUUUGUUCCAACUUGUGUUUAAUCAUGAAGAUGCUAUGUGCUGUGGACAUGUAUUUAAAACUGGAUGAAACUUUGGAAUAGUUAUGUAAGCUUGUUUUUUUUUGCAUCAUUCUUCCUUGAUCUAUUAAUUUCAUUAACAAAUUUUAUUCACCUAGCAGUUUGUAAAUCAUUGUGUACAAUAUACAACCAGUAUUUACUCUAAGGUGCAAAAACUCUCCUCCCUUUUCUUUGCAAAUUCCAUCAGCUUUUGCUAACCAGGCUAAUGCAAUUCAGAGAUUGAAAAAUUGCAAUACCACCUACAGAAUAUCUGAUCACUGGGAGCCAUUGUGGAACAAUUUUACCAAAUAUACUUCAUUAAUGAACUGCACAAAGCCUGAACCAGGAAAUGCACAUUAGAAUUUGUUAAUGUUUUAAUAUUAAAAUAAAGAAGGGAAAGAGGGAAAUGAUAGAAAAAAAUAAAGCCAUCAAUAUACUUACAAUUUUUAACAAAAGAAUGUAAUAAUUUACUACUCUUACAAAAAUGUUUCAAUGACUUCAAGAAAUUGUUUGGCAGUAAUAACUGCCAUUAAGUGGGAUAUUUAGACCAAAAUUGGACAACACUUAGUAUUUUUAAGAUGAAUUUAUGUCCAUGUUUCAAUGAUAAAUAUUUCAUGCUAUUCAUUUUUGAAUAAGGUGUCUUAUGGCAAUUGUAACUUCAGUGCAGAUUAUUAAGUAAUACUGCACCUCAGCCAACAACUUAAGAUUUUUGCACAUAUGUAAAGUAGUCCUUCAUUUUAUACUAAAUAACAAAAAGCAUUAUGAACAUCAUAGUUGUUUGUACAGUAAAUUAUGGCCAAGUAUUUUUGAUACCCUUACAUCUCCGAUAUUUCCCAACUAUACCUCUAUCCCUUUCUUUAAAAAGAUUAAUCAACACAACCAAUCGGCAAUUGGUUACGAUACAUGUAACAUGUUACAUUAAUUGUGUUACUUAGUUUCAGUGCAUCCCGGAAUCAGUGGUCUACUGUAGAGGGGCCAUUUAACCCAUCAUGUCCAAGCCAAACUGGUGAACUACAUAUACCUGUCUGGACACGCCCCCUGAUGACUGCUGCUGUGGCUCCUCCCACAGACCCCUGUAUAAAGGUGAUGGAGGUCUGAGCCCGGCCUCUCUGUCUCCAGGAUGUAGUGUAGUGGUCAAUCACUGCUUGUUCCUUCUUCCAGUCAAUAAAAGCCGAUACCUCACUUUUACAUCUCAGAGUGAGUUAUUGAUGGUGCAUCACAAACAUAAACAAGCCAUUUGGGAUUAUCCCUGUUCUGUAGCUUCACAUUGUAGUUACUCAUCCAGUUCAGUGUGACGAAGAUUUCUGUCUUUAUCGUUCUUUCAGAAAAUAAACUCUACGUUCCUACCACCCUCUGAAUGAAAACCAAAUUACAUUUUCCCCUCUCAGCCUCCUACAAAUUAACAUCUCGGUCCCUUCAUGUUGCACUCUUUCCUAAGGGACUAGAUUAAUUUUUCUGCUUGCUGUCAUCGUGCAUAGGAUGGUUAAUUUACCUUGGCCUUGUGCAUCUUUUAAGGCUCUGUCAAAUUAUGACAAGCACAUUUUUAACUUCUGCUUUCAUUAUGUUGAACAAGCUUCAGGAUAAGAGAUGGGUGAGUGAGGAUUCUGGGAAAGACUUCUGUUGUUGUCCAUUAGCAACUGAAGAGCUGUAGAACAGUUAUUCUUAUUCCUGACUGGGAAUUCACCUAGGAAGAAAUCUUCGUACUCCCCACAGUGGCACAACAGGAAUGUUCCAAUGCUUCUGCAUUGCCUGCAGAAACCAGAAAGGUGAACAGCAGAUUGCUAAAAUAAACUAAUUAAGUUUCAUAGUUAUUCAAAAACCUUGACAUGACUCAUUCAACAUUAAUGCAAAUCAAAUUAUUUGUUUAGUAUAAACUUGAUGUCUGUAGGUGCUUCCUGGAUGCAAAUUGGUUGCCUCAUUUCCUAAAUUACAACAAUGAUUGCAAAGAUAUUUCAAGGGCAGUAAAGUGAUUUUUUUUCUGAGGCACUUUUGUUGUGCAAUUAUUGAACAUCUGCUGCCAUUGAUUUCUUUAAUUAUCCUGGUUUAAUAAACACAUAAUCAUUUAUCACAUAGGGUUUGAGAAUGAUUAUUGAAUUAUUUCAUUUUAUGAUGUCUGGUGUAACUUUCUGUAUAAAAAUGUCCCAACUAGAUUUUGGUUUUGAUGUAAUCGUAAUUAUAUAAAUACUGCAAAUGAAUCCAUAUCGUUCACAUGACUUUGGAAGUUGUAGCUACCAUUGUAAAGGAAAAUCUUUAUAGCAAUGUUGUGAUUUAUGGAUGUAUUUUAACAUGAAUCUACAUCAGUAGGAACAGCAUUGAUUUGAUGAAUUGACACCAUGGCAACAGUUUGGAUAUUUUGUCUUUCAAGUGCAUCUCAUUUUAGUGCCAAGUAUAUUUUAAUAUUUUUAGAUUGGGCUGGCCCCAUGUAGAACAAGCCAACUGAAUGGGUACAAUGUCUGUUAUGCUCUCCACUAAUACUGUAUAGUGUGACUAUAAGUAUAGUGAUGUGGCUUAAGAAAUAAUGCCUUUUUCACAAAGUAAGCAGUUUCAAUGUACCUUUUAAUAAACAUUAUUUCAUAACAAUCUAAAGU